UGAUCGUGGAAAGGCAGGGUGCGAUCGUCACUUUACCAUUCUCUUCCUCCCCUCUUUCUCUCUCCCUCAGAUCCCAUUCUCUUCAUCACUCUCUUUCUCUCUCCCUCAGUUUCAAUCUGCUCACCUAAAAUCCCCAGAUCGAACAUCCUCCAUCUCAAAUAAAAAAACCUUCCCUAAUCAUGGAUUUUUGUUGAGUCGACCUUCAGGUGAUAAAAUCGUGAUGUGACCAUCGUAUUAUCUCUCACAGCUCACAACGAUGAAAUCGCACCACGACCAGUGUCGGUAUGAUUAGACGGUUCGGAUGCGCCUAAUGAACAAACCUAAUUUGCCUCGCGCGUUCAGUCAUCACCUUCCUUCGUCUAAAACCUCACACAGAGACAGAGCUCCCCCAAAACCCUAAACGCCCAAAGUAUUAAUCACGAAGUUACGGAGCUGAAAUUGCAAACGCUAUCAUGGCUCACUUAAAAAAUAAGAAGGUGUUUGUGAAGUUGGUUUCGACGAAGAAGCAGGCUAAUAUGGACCAUAUC
RNAcentral lists this small RNA (527 nucleotides) under Malus domestica (apple). Its description in RNAcentral is "sRNA MD16G0151000". The record is from RNAcentral. Lineage: Eukaryota; Viridiplantae; Streptophyta; Magnoliopsida; Rosales; Rosaceae.